CCACGCCGUAAACGAUGAGUGCCAGAUGUCGGGGGUCAAACCUCGGUAUCGCCGUUAACACAAUAAGCACUCCGCCUGGGGAGUACGCACGCAAGUGUGAAACUCAAAGGAAUUGACGGGGACCCGCACAAGCAGCGGAGCAUGUGGUUUAAUUCGAUGCAACGCGAAGAACCUUACCAGGGCUUGACAUAUGGGUGAAAGACGUAGAGAUACGUCCCCUCUUCGGAGCAGCCAUACAGGUGGUGCAUGGUUGU
RNAcentral lists this ribosomal RNA (254 nucleotides) under uncultured bacterium. Its description in RNAcentral is "partial 16S ribosomal RNA". It matches the Rfam family "Bacterial small subunit ribosomal RNA", at positions 795 to 1052 of the family's 1533-position model. The record is from RNAcentral.